AUUUCAAUAAAUUUGAUUUUAAUGAUAAUUUUCUUUAUUAUGUAUGAUACUUAUAAAUUCUAAAAGAUCAAAUAUAAUUAUGUGCAUUUCAAAUAUAACAUGAAUUUCUAAUAAUAUAGCACAUAAGAUAUUAAAAAAAACUUUGGAACUUAUUUUAAAAGAUUCUUGGUGGCUUCAAAUAUGAAAAUUUGUCAAAAUAUCUAUUCAACCAUAUUACAAUUGUUUUAAAGUAAAGAUUCCAUGUUAUCAAUCAUAUAGACUUUUUCAACUUCUACCUAUUAUAAAGCAAAUUUGGUCAUUUAUUUCAAUGAAUUUUUAUUACAAAUCUUUUGAUCAUAAAUUCUUAUAAUUCUAUUUUUAUAAUGGUAAAUUAUCUUAUCAAAAUUUUAUACUUUUUACUAUAUAAAAAAUUAACCA
Molecule: long non-coding RNA, 417 nt
Filed under: Physcomitrium patens
Lineage: Eukaryota; Viridiplantae; Streptophyta; Bryopsida; Funariales; Funariaceae
Description: long non-coding RNA (PPAT_LNC000617)
Source: RNAcentral